CGUCAAAGCUUAACUACUUAGUAUCAUAAAUCCCUUAAACAAAUUAAAACCCUACCCCAAUACUGAAUAAUUCUAUAUUUUUAUAGAAAAUAUUAUGUUAAAACUAGUAACAAGAAGUUAAUCUUCUCUAAAAUGUAAAUGUAAGUCAGAACGGACAACACACUGACAAUUAACAAUAUUAAACUAUAGUAAUACCCCAUCCAAGAAAACCUUACUAACACACUUGUUAACCUAACACAAGAACAUUUAAAGAAAGACUAAAAGAAAAAGAAGGAAUUCGGCAAGAAUUGAUUCCGCCUGUUUACCAAAAACAUCACCUCUUGAACUAAGAUAUAAGAGGCUCCGCCUGCCCAGUGAUAUAUUUAACGGCCGCGGUAUCCUAACCGCGCGAAGGUAGCGUAAUCACCUGUUUUUUAAUUAAAGACCUGUAUGAAAGGCAUCACGAGAAUCACACUGUCUCCUUUAUCCAGUCAGUGAAAUUAAUCCUCCCGUGAAAAAGCGGGAAUCCUAAUACAAGACGAGAAGACCCUUUGGAGCUUAAGACAUUAUUAGUGUACGCUUACUUUUUACCCUUACACAUAACUGCACACUACCUAUGAGUCUUGGGUUGGGGCAACCACGGAGUAAAAACCAACCUCCACGCUGAACGGAACUUUCCUAAACAAAAAGCCACAACUUUAUGUAUCAAAAAACUGACACCAUUAGACCCAAUAUUUUGAUUAACGAACCAAGUUACCCUAGGGAUAACAGCGCAAUCCACUUCGAGAGUUCAUAUCGACAAGUGGGCUUACGACCUCG
Molecule: ribosomal RNA, 798 nt
Filed under: Eleutherodactylus heminota (Shreve's robber frog)
Lineage: Eukaryota; Metazoa; Chordata; Amphibia; Anura; Eleutherodactylidae
Description: partial 16S ribosomal RNA
Rfam family: Bacterial large subunit ribosomal RNA
Source: RNAcentral